UACGGAGGGUGCAAGCGUUGUCCGGAAUCAUUGGGUGUAAAGGGUGCGUAGGCGGGCUACUAAGUCUGGGGUGAAAUCUUGCCGCUUAACGGUAAAAUGGCCUUGGAUACUGGUAGUCUUGAGUGUAGAAGAGGCAGGUGGAAUUCGUAGUGUAGCGGUGAAAUGCAUAGAUAUUACGAAGAACAUCAGUGGCGAAGGCGGCCUGCUGGUCUACGACUGACGCUGAGGCACGAAAGCGUGGGGAGCGAACAGG
Molecule: unclassified non-coding RNA, 253 nt
Filed under: uncultured Bacteroidota bacterium
Lineage: Bacteria; Pseudomonadati; Bacteroidota
Description: uncultured Bacteroidetes bacterium contains 16S-23S intergenic spacer region
Rfam family: Bacterial small subunit ribosomal RNA
Source: RNAcentral